CUUCACCGAACCGAGCCACAAGGGACGCUCGGGUUCCCGCUCCUGGCCGUACGUCGCCAGCAGCGCCUGCGCCUC
Non-coding RNA from Streptomyces autolyticus, 75 nucleotides. The record is from Rfam. Lineage: Bacteria; Bacillati; Actinomycetota; Actinomycetes; Kitasatosporales; Streptomycetaceae.